UACGAAGGGGGCUAGCGUUGCUCGGAAUCACUGGGCGUAAGGGCGCGUAGGCGGCCGAUCAAGUCAGAGGUGAAAGCCCAAGGCUCAACCUUGGAAUUGCCUUUGAUACUGUUCGGCUCGAGACCGGAAGAGGUUAGUGGAACUGCGAGUGUAGAGGUGAAAUUCGUAGAUAUUCGCAAGAACACCAGUGGCGAAGGCGGCUAACUGGUCCGGUUCUGACGCUGAGGCGCGAAAGCGUGGGGAGCAAACAGG
Molecule: ribosomal RNA, 252 nt
Filed under: uncultured bacterium
Lineage: Bacteria
Description: partial 16S ribosomal RNA
Rfam family: Bacterial small subunit ribosomal RNA
Source: RNAcentral